This 500-nucleotide ribosomal RNA is filed under the name uncultured bacterium. RNAcentral describes it as "partial 16S ribosomal RNA". It matches the Rfam family "Bacterial small subunit ribosomal RNA", at positions 30 to 523 of the family's 1533-position model. The record is from RNAcentral.
AUUGAACGCUGGCGGAAUGCUUUACACAUGCAAGUCGAACGGCAGCACGGACUUCGGUCUGGUGGCGAGUGGCGAACGGGUGAGUAAUGUAUCGGAACGUGCCCAGUCGUGGGGGAUAACGUAGUGAAAAUUACGCUAAUACCGCAUACGAACUAUGGAUGAAAGCGGGGGAUCGCAAGACCUCGCGCGAUUGGACCGGCCGAUAGCAGAUUAGGUAGUUGGUGGGGUAAAGGCCCACCAAGCCAACGAUCUGUAGCUGGUCUGAGAGGACGACCAGCCACACUGGAACUGAGACACGGUCCAGACUCCUACGGGAGGCAGCAGUGGGGAAUUUUGGACAAUGGGCGAAAGCCUGAUCCAGCCAUUCCGCGUGCAGGAUGAAGGCCCUCGGGUUGUAAACUGCUUUUGUACAGAACGAAAAGGUUUCUACUAAUACUAGGAGCUCAUGACGGUACUGUAAGAAUAAGCACCGGCUAACUACGUGCCAGCCGCCGCCGUAA